CACUCUACCCUUUGAACCCUCUCUCGUAUAUGCACUCUACCCUUCCACCCCGAAGCUGAAAACAAAUUUAAAUAAAUUAGAAUUUACUGUUUGUUUGGAUUGCAUGCACUUUCCCUUUUCUGCUCGUGUUCUGCUUUUUAACUGCCCUUUUUUUUUUUAUGCUGAGAACUUUUCUUGCUGAAAUCACCAAUUUGUUUCUCCUAUAUCAUCACCCGGGGAAACUGUUUUGCAACAUCAUCAAAAUAGAGUCAGGGUCAACUACAGCUAAAAAAAAUUUCUCUUAUUACACCGCACUUAACAAGAGACGACGAGGGAGGGAAACGCCAAACGUCACAACAUAUGCACUGAUUCAAUUGAGUUGGCAAUUGCUAGAAAUGUGCUUGGUUGUACACCAGAAACAAGGAAAUUGGCCUCAUCUAAUUUUUCCCCCCCUUUCAAUUGUGCCUUCAUAAAUUUCAGGUUGCAGUUUUUAGGUGCUUGGAUUAGUGCUAGUUAGGGGAUUGAUUGUCCAUUUUUCUAGGCUACCAAUUUUCCUAUUGCUUUUUUGUAAGUACCUUAUGUAUGUGUGUCUUGUUCUGUUUAUAUGUGGCAUAAGAAUUAGAUAAACAGGUGCUAUAGACGUACGGCAUCUUUAGAUGAUAAAUAUACAGUAUAUCGUUUAAAAAAGAAGUUGAGAGGAGGUAAGGUUGUGCAAGCUUAGCGAUUCAUGACAUGGGUUGCCACUUUUGUCCCUUUCAUACUUCUAUUGGAAUUGUAUGCCAAUUGGGUUUAUUCUUCUACUUUGCACUCCAAUUGAGUUGAAAUUAUGUAUUCCAGAGAUGGUCACCGCUGGAAAAUUAUUUUUUAAUUAUGCUACGAAGGCGCAGACUUCUUUGUUCCAUCUGUCUUGUUAUUUAGCACCACCAAAAUUAUAGUUUGUGUUCGUCUAAACUUGAGCAUACCCGGGGUCUCGUUUACAUCAUAAACAAGGAAUAAAGGGUAAAAGGGGGAGAAGGAAAACUCUUGAGAACAAGCAAGUGCUAAAUAGGGUGGUAAGAAGUGAAAGAGAGAAAGGAAGCAAGAAGAAAGAAGAAAAGGCAAGGCACUGAUAGAGGAGAACAAAAAGGAAAGUCGCCUCUCACCGCAUCGCAUGACUUUCACAUCGCAUGAUAAAUUUUAGAUGAAUAUGCUGAUGAUUAAAAUGACUUUCUGUCAAACAUACCAGUGAAGAGGAAGAGCAAAUGUGUCCUUGAAAGCCCUUGCUAACACUAUCAUGAUAGUCUUCUGAAUGGGCAAAAAUUAUUGUUUUAAAGACAAAACCAUUAAAGUGCAUGGGAUGUAAUGUAAUUUAGCCUAUAUUAUUAUUUUAUUAAUAGGCAAGACUUGACUUAUUUAUUCGAAAAACCUGCAUCUCUAGGCUAGAUGGUGAGAAUUAUGUAGAAAGAAUGGCAUUAUUCUUCUGCUUGAUCUUUCCUACAAGUCAUCUAAAUGAAAAAUUAAAAAUAUCCGUAUUAGAGAAGGUACACCUCUGAUAACCUUUGCUUGUAGAAGUCUUAGAUGUUGGGAGCAAUUAGUAUCAGACUGUGUGAUUUAUUGAAAUGCGUUAAUAUUUUGGUUACCCCUAUGCUUUAGGACACAGAUGCACGAUAUUACCUUAAAGUUUUAUGUCAAGUUCGAUCAAGUUCUGUACCCGAAAUUCUCCCACAUGUUCAUUUUUGUCUCCCAAAUCUUAGUUUAUCAAGAUAUGCUCUAUUUAUAGUAUUUUACAUCUUACACCAGGUUGAAAGAUUAAGCUUUGAUAUGUAGCAAUGAACUCAAGGAAUUAAGCUCUGGGAUUCUGAAGUAGAUAGUGGUGAGACUCUGAGAUGAGAACAAGUAGUUUUGUCAAGCUGAAAGGUUGCAGAGCUUUUCCUGUAUGAAUGUGGAUCAGGAGACCACCUUUUGUAAUUAGUCAGUUCUAUAAAUGCAAACUGGAAAUUUACAGUUUUAGUAAAAUAGAGCGGUCCAGUAAAGUGCCAUGGUCCCUGUAAUAUUGGAGGUCGUAUUAUCUUUAAGAUGUUUCCCCCCUUUGAAAUGUAGUUUGUGUAAGUUAUUCUGAACUUGUCAGCUAUAAUCCAUGAUGUAGUCAAAACUUGUCUUGCUACUCUGUAUUUGAAGCAUCUUUUAUUUGAAGCA
Molecule: long non-coding RNA, 2154 nt
Organism: Asparagus officinalis (garden asparagus)
Lineage: Eukaryota; Viridiplantae; Streptophyta; Magnoliopsida; Asparagales; Asparagaceae
Exons: 2
Source: RefSeq, a predicted model, not a curated record